AUGAACCCAUACCUGAAGGCUCUGGGCUCCAACUACAGCAACGGUGUCAAAUUCACCAUGGCUGGCUCAACGGUGUCCCGCGGCGUCUCCCAAUUCCCUGAACAUCCAGGUCGAUUCGUUCGUCUACUACAAGCGCAGAUCCCUAGAGCUCUAAAAUUCCGUAUCAGGGUAUUUUUUCAUCGGUUCUAA
RNAcentral lists this ribosomal RNA (189 nucleotides) under Triticum aestivum (bread wheat). RNAcentral's name for it is "partial small subunit ribosomal RNA". Lineage: Eukaryota; Viridiplantae; Streptophyta; Magnoliopsida; Poales; Poaceae. The record is from RNAcentral.